Long non-coding RNA from Cynoglossus semilaevis (tongue sole), 1159 nucleotides. RefSeq lists it as uncharacterized. Lineage: Eukaryota; Metazoa; Chordata; Actinopteri; Pleuronectiformes; Cynoglossidae. The transcript is spliced from 6 exons. The record is from RefSeq and is a predicted model, not a curated record.
GUGGUGGCAGCGCUGGCAGUGAAGUAAAGGCUCUCUUGGCUUUAACAGUACCAGAAUCAGUGACUUAUUUUUCAAUAUAUAUUAUUGUUAAUAUUUAUACAAUAAUACAGAGUAUUCUGUUCUAUGGAAUUUAUCCAAAUAUAUUUCGGCCUCAUGUGUUGCCAGGAUGAAAAAUUAGGCCUAAAGACCUUCAGUCUAAAGUAAAUGGCUGCGGCGUUGUUUCUUUAACCAAUCAGAUUUUGAGUUCACAUCAAAUUCUCAUAUCUAGGCCUUUUAGGAUGGGCCGCAGUUACGUUGGCGAUUGGAGUGAUUUGAUUGGUUGGUCAAAGAACCCACGUCUCUAAUCUACCAAACAACAGCUAAUUUCGACUUGCCCGCUAAAAAAAUAAUUUGUCUCUACGUCCGCUGCUUCUGUCGAAUUUUGCAGUGACUCCCACUCUUGACAAGACAGAUUUGAGCGGAGUUGUCAGUUGCCAAUUAUACGCCAGGCUUGUCUGACUGGAUUGUCUGAGACUGAUCAGCAGUUUGAUGAUCACACAGAACAAGGCCUUUCAACUGAGCAUCCAGAAUCCCUGGAGACACUUGAGCAAGGCAGCAAUCAAAUGAUUUCAGCGGCACAAUCAAAAGACAAGUUUGAUGAUUGGCACUUCCUUAUUUGAUCAAAGGGGGGCGCAGUGAGCGCUGUGGGCCAUAGGCGGCCUGUUGAAGUGAGAGAACGUCAGCAGACAGUAAACUCCUGACAUCUGCACUGAAGGACUUACAGAAGGAUAAUGCAAAGUCGGUGAGAGACAGUGAGGCUGCUCCUGCUGCUGCUCCUGCUCCUGCUCCUGAGUUCAGAUGCAAAAAAGCCUGUCCUGGAGAUUCCUAUAUGUGAAGCCUUUCAUCACCAGUAAAGGGAAUAAAUAUAAUGACAUUGAAAGAUGUCAAUUGGUUUGUUGCUUUUUCAACACGACACAGCCAUGUUAGAGCCAGGAUUGGAGCCACAAUCCACCUGAUUAUUGGCUGAUCCUUUAACCACUAGGCCACUCCCGUCCCCAGUUUUUGGGUAAGUGUUGCAUCACUUUAUGUUAAAUUAAAUUCAGUUAUGUAUUAGUAAUAGCAAUAUAUGUAUACAUAUAUUUGUCAGUUGUUAACUUCAGCUUUUUUUUUUUAACUAACA